ACUAACAAGGAUUCCCCUAGUAACGGCGAGUGAACCGGGAAGAGCUCAAAUUUGAAAUCUGGCGUCCUCAGGGCGUCCGAGUUGUAAUCUAUAGAGGCGUUUUCCGUGCCGGACCGUGUCCAAGUUCCUUGGAACAGGAUAUCAAAGAGGGUGACAAUCCCGUACUUGACACGACGACCGGUGCUCUGUGAUACGUCUUCUACGAGUCGAGUUGUUUGGGAAUGCAGCUCAAAAUGGGUGGUGAGUUCCAUCUAAAGCUAAAUAUUGGCGAGAGACCGAUAGCGAACAAGUACCGUGAGGGAAAGAUGAAAAGCACUUUGGAAAGAGAGUUAAACAGUACGUGAAAUUGUUGAAAGGGAAACGAUUGAAGUCAGUCGUGACCGAGAGGCUCAGCCGGUUCUGCCGGUGUAUUCCCCUCGGUCGGGUCAACAUCAGUUUUGUCCGGUGGAUAAGGGCGGUAGGAAGGUGGCACCCUCGGGUGUGUUAUAGCCUGCCGUCGCAUACAUCGGGUGAGACUGAGGAACGCAGCUCGCCUUUAUGGCCGGGGUUCGCCCACGUCCGAGCUUAGGAUGUUGACAUAAUGGCUUUAAACGA
Molecule: ribosomal RNA, 594 nt
Filed under: Papiliotrema laurentii
Lineage: Eukaryota; Fungi; Basidiomycota; Tremellomycetes; Tremellales; Rhynchogastremaceae
Description: eukaryotic LSU rRNA
Rfam family: Eukaryotic large subunit ribosomal RNA
Source: RNAcentral